This 30-nucleotide non-coding RNA is filed under the name Homo sapiens (human). Lineage: Eukaryota; Metazoa; Chordata; Mammalia; Primates; Hominidae. The record is from RNAcentral.
UAAGAAAUUUAGUCAAACUCAUGGUGCUUU